UAUCAUAUUUUAUUACGAAUG
This 21-nucleotide non-coding RNA is filed under the name Caenorhabditis elegans. Lineage: Eukaryota; Metazoa; Nematoda; Chromadorea; Rhabditida; Rhabditidae. The record is from RNAcentral.